RNAcentral lists this ribosomal RNA (492 nucleotides) under uncultured bacterium. Its description in RNAcentral is "partial 16S ribosomal RNA". It matches the Rfam family "Bacterial small subunit ribosomal RNA", at positions 28 to 507 of the family's 1533-position model. The record is from RNAcentral.
GAUGAACGCUAGCUACAGGCUUAACACAUGCAAGUCGAGGGGAAACGGCAUCGAAAGCUUGCUUUUGAUGGGCGUCGACCGGCGCACGGGUGAGUAACGCGUAUCCAACCUGCCCAUCACUUGGGAAUAACCUUGCGAAAGUAAGACUAAUGCCCAAUGACAUCCCACGAAGGCAUCCGAAUGGGAUUCAAGAUUUAUCGGUGAUGGAUGGGGAUGCGUCUGAUUAGCUUGUUGGCGGGGUGACGGCCCACCAAGGCAACGAUCAGUAGGGGUUCUGAGAGGAAGGUCCCCCACAUGGGAACUGAGACACGGUCCAAACUGCUACGGGAGGCAGCAGUGAGGAAGAUUGGUCAAUGGGCGAGAGCCUGAACAAGCCAAGUAGCGUGCAGGAGGACGGCCCUAUGGGUGGUAAACUGCUUUUAUAAGGGAAGAAAGUGGGUAACGUGUGACUUUUUGCAUGUACCUUAUGAAUAAGGACCGGCUAAUUCCGUG